CAGGAGUUUGCCAACUAAGCCUUUCUGUUCUUAAUAGCCUGGCAGUUUAGAGAGUGAAGAGCUAUUUCUGCUACUGGAAGAGGACUUGGGGAAGUGUUUAUGAGAGCUGCUAACAGCUAAUUUACAAAUUGCAGUUCUUAUUUGAGAUUGUUGUGCUUUAGCAUCCAUUCAAGCAUCUUUCUUAGCCAGUAUCAAACACAAGGGGCAAAACCCCUGUGCCUGAGCUGCAGCUGAGUUCAGUGGAAGAGCCAUGAGCCAGGAUGUGUGUUGCCACUGCAGCAGAGCUGUGGCCACCAGAAGAAGGACCCGAGCAGCCUCCUGCUGAUAUAACCUCAAUUUCCCACCAAGCCUGAGCAUUUCUGACAGCUGAAAGCAUUUACCAGCGGACUGCUGAGCACAUCAAGAUGGAUACAGUUCUCUUGCUGUUUGGAUUGGGAGGAGUACAGUCUUCUCCUGAUGCUGACCAGGUGCACUGAAGUGAUGAGCUGCCAGAGGGUGGGGCACAGGACACCAGGGACCAGCAAAGCCUUUUCUGCACCUCUCAUGCCACUGAAGAGCCAUCACUCCGAUCAGAAACUGAAAUCCUGCUUUGUGCUCCUCCAGUGUGGAAAUCUGUCAGGUAAAUAGAAAUCACCUCGUAAAAGCCCUUAAACAGC
Molecule: long non-coding RNA, 656 nt
Filed under: Zonotrichia albicollis (white-throated sparrow)
Lineage: Eukaryota; Metazoa; Chordata; Aves; Passeriformes; Passerellidae
Description: lncRNA (ENSZALG00000005721.1)
Source: RNAcentral